Molecule: ribosomal RNA, 335 nt
Filed under: Acrocercops vallata
Lineage: Eukaryota; Metazoa; Arthropoda; Insecta; Lepidoptera; Gracillariidae
Description: partial 12S ribosomal RNA
Source: RNAcentral
GAUGUGUACAUAUUUUAAUUUUAAAUCAUUCUAUAAAAUUAAAUAAAAUUACAUUUAAAUCCAAUUUCAAAUAAAUAUUACAAUUUAUUAUUCAAAAAUAAAUUUAUUGUAAUCCAUUAUAUUCUUAAAUAUAAACUAUAUCUUGAUCUGAUUUAAUUUUUAAUCUUAAUUUUAAAAUAUUUUAUUUUAUAAAAAAUAUUUUUUUAACAACGAUAUAUAAAUUUUUAAUUUAAGUAAAUUUAUUCGUGGAUUAUCAAUUAUUAAACAGAUUCCUCUAAAUUUACUAAAAUACCGCCAAAUCAUUUAAAUUUCAAUAAAUAAUUAUUUAAUAAUUU